UCCAUCUGUCACCUAGUUGGUUACCAGAGUUGAUUCAGCUGAUCUNGCUGGCUAGGUGAGUACCCUCCUCUUCCCUCACUGCUCCAUGUGCCUCCCUCCCAAAGCUGCCCACUAGGCUGAAGAGGAUGACCUUCCCUGAAGAUAGGAGGACUGGUCUUAGGACAAUAGUAUAAUGAGUAGGUGUGCUCCCCUGCAAAAUCUUCCAAACAAGCUCCCAGCAUGCUUUUUAUUCCAGGGUAUCAACUAUGUCUUUUUACUAUUUCAAAUGCAAGGAACUGUGUCUAGUAUCU
This 290-nucleotide small nuclear RNA is filed under the name Neotoma lepida (desert woodrat). RNAcentral describes it as "7SK RNA". It matches the Rfam family "7SK RNA". Rfam says of the family: 7SK was discovered as an abundant small nuclear RNA in the mid-70s but a possible function has only recently been suggested. Two independent studies have found that 7SK RNA binds the CDK9/cyclin T complex (known as elongation factor P-TEFb). Lineage: Eukaryota; Metazoa; Chordata; Mammalia; Rodentia; Cricetidae. The record is from Rfam by way of RNAcentral.